UUUUUUUUAAGAGUUCCGGUGAAGACUGCAAGGUUUGCCGGCUUCACGCUGAACCGGGUCCAAUGGGACCGGUUGUCACAAAUAUCGAUUGGACCCGGUUCUCACAAAUAUCGUCGAGUGCUUAAUUUCCCUUACAUCCUAAUAUCUUUUUUAAAAUUAUGUUUUUUAAAAUUAUGUUUUUGCUUGGGCACCUUCGAACAAGCCAGGGUCAUCUUAUUGCACCCAUUCGAAUUAAAGCUUGCUGUCUUCACACUGAUUGGACCCGGUUCUCACAAAUAUCGUCGAGUGCUUAAUUUCCCUUCCAUCCUAAUGUCUUUUUUAAAAAUUAUGUUUUAACUUGGGCACCUUCGAACAAGUCAGGGUCAUCUUAUUGCCCCUGUUCGAGUUACAGGCCCACACGGCUGCCCUUGGCCGCAGGGCAGUGCGGUAUCAAACGGCAGAAAUGGCGCCCGGUCAACCUCCCGUUGACGAUCUUAUCACAUCUAAUGCAUAUAUAUGAUAAAGAUGCAUGGAACUUCAUCCAUAUUUGUCGUACCUAAGUAGGGAGAGAUCAUGCUUUAAGGAUCAUAUAUGAGAUUUGGUCCUCCAUAACGGGAAGGAGAAAGAUCGAUAUAAAUGACUGGGCAAAAAGGCUAACAGAUGAGUUGAGGAAUAUGCAAAUGAAUAUACAAAAAGGCUUAUGUCUCAAUAUCAAGUUUUAUUGCCCGAUAUGGAAUAAAUCGAUACAGUAUAACUACCUGCUCAUCUAAACACAGGCAUCUUCAGUCAAACAACAUCGUACAUGAGCCAUCAUAAAACCAUGGCCAUUACACAGAACGCCACCACCUGACUACGACAAUCAAGGAGAAUGGAAACAAGUAAAAGGAGAUGCACUGAUACUCAGAUCGCUUUCUCGAGCAAUCAUGUUAUAUUUUGAGUUAUCGUACAGUAAAGACAAUCCUCAAAAAAAAAAACGUAG
Molecule: non-coding RNA, 958 nt
Organism: Elaeis guineensis (African oil palm)
Lineage: Eukaryota; Viridiplantae; Streptophyta; Magnoliopsida; Arecales; Arecaceae
Source: RefSeq, a predicted model, not a curated record